RNAcentral lists this ribosomal RNA (468 nucleotides) under uncultured bacterium. Its description in RNAcentral is "partial 16S ribosomal RNA". It matches the Rfam family "Bacterial small subunit ribosomal RNA", at positions 28 to 507 of the family's 1533-position model. The record is from RNAcentral.
GACGAACGCUGGCGGCGGGCUUAACACAUGCAAGUCGAACGGAAAGGCCCUGCUUUUUUGGGGUUCUCGAGUGGCGAACGUGUGAGUAACACGUGAGUAAGCUGCCCUUGACGUUAUGAUAACUUCAGACAACUGGUGCUAAUACCGGAUAGGAGCUCCUGCUGCAUGGUGGGGGUUGGAAAGUUUCGGCGGUUGGGGAUGGACUCGCGGCUUAUCAGCUUGUUGGUGGGGUAGUGGCUUACCAAGGCUUUGACGGGUAGCCGGCCUGGGAGGGGGACCGGCGACAUUGGGCCUGAGGUACGGCCCAGACUGGUACGGGAGGCAGCAGUGGGGAAUAUUGCACAAUGGGCGGAAGCCUGAUGAGACAACGCCGCGUGCGGGAUGACGGCCAUCGGGUUGUAAAGCGCUUUAGCCUGUGACGAAGCGUGAGUGACGGUAAUGGGUAAAGAAGCACCGGCUAACUACGUG